UACGAAGGGUGCAAGCGUUACUCGGAAUUACUGGGCGUAAAGCGUGCGUAGGCGGUUUGUUGCGUCAGACGUGAAAUCCCUCGGCUCAACCGGGGAACUGCGUCUGAUACUGGGUGGCUUGAAUCCGGGAGAGGGAUGCGGAAUUCCAGGUGUAGCGGUGAAAUGCGUAGAUAUCUGGAGGAACACCGGUGGCGAAGGCGGCAUCCUGGACCGGCAUUGACGCUGAGGCGCGAAAGCCAGGGGAGCAAACGGG
This 253-nucleotide ribosomal RNA is filed under the name uncultured bacterium. RNAcentral's name for it is "partial 16S ribosomal RNA". It matches the Rfam family "Bacterial small subunit ribosomal RNA", at positions 524 to 776 of the family's 1533-position model. The record is from RNAcentral.